This 292-nucleotide ribosomal RNA is filed under the name uncultured Acidobacteriota bacterium. RNAcentral describes it as "uncultured Acidobacteria bacterium partial 16S ribosomal RNA". The record is from RNAcentral. Lineage: Bacteria; Pseudomonadati; Acidobacteriota.
GGACUACACGGGUUUCUAAUCCUGUUUGCUCCCCUAGCUUUCGUGCAUCAGCGUCAGUUAUGGUCCAGCGAGCCGCUUUCGCCACAGGUGUUCCUCCCGAUGUCUACGCAUUUCACCGCUACACCGGGAAUUCCACUCACCUCUCCCACACUCAAGCACGGCAGUUUCUAUGGCAGACUCUGAGUUGAGCCCAGAGAUUUCACCACAGACUUACCGCACCGCCUACGCACCCUUUACGCCCAAUAAUUCCGAACAACGCUUGCACCCUCUGUAUUACCGCGGCUGCUGGCAC